CUUUUAUCCAAAGCAAGGGAUGAAAAAUUGAGCAAAAUAGAGAUGUUACUUGCUCAUGUUCUUUCGAAUGCUUCAAUUUCCAUUCCACCGGAUCUAGCCAAUGGGCUAGAUAACAUUCAACAAUCUCCUAGUCAUCACCAAUCAAAGUAAAGAAAAGAAACCUGGAGGAGCUGAGUUGCUGUCAAGAUCACUUGUAGGAAAUAAACAUGGGGAAUAAAACACAAACUCUGAGUGAACUUUGGUCUGUGUAUAGAUUCUGCUUCAUGUUUAAUUGUAGUCUUCAAGGGCAAUGGAUGAGACCAUGUUGCUUGAUAUAUUUGUUAUGAUGUGAUCCUUUCCAGUUAUCUUUCAUGAUCACUUGUAGGUUUGCUGUGGAUUGUUGAAUUUAGUGCGUGUGAGCAUGCCAAUUGAAUGCAUCGAAUCUUAGUUAGUUUUAUUUGAGUAACUCAUUAAUGCUCAAAAAUAACUAUGAAGUAAACAUGUGGAUUUGGGAUUAGAGCUUCCUUAUUUGUAAUAUAAGAUGAUCCUACCAGUGGAGAAUAUUGUCCAACUACAUGUUGCUUUUUUUUAUUUGGUAUUUUUUAUCUUUGCUUUCCUUAUUUGUAAUAUAAGAUGUUCCUCUUGCAAUUGUUCUAUUGCAGGUUACAGGUUUUGGUUCUGAA
Long non-coding RNA from Lotus japonicus, 662 nucleotides. RefSeq lists it as uncharacterized. The record is from RefSeq and is a predicted model, not a curated record. NCBI's taxonomy places the organism in Eukaryota, Viridiplantae, Streptophyta, Magnoliopsida, Fabales, Fabaceae. The transcript is spliced from 3 exons.